This 896-nucleotide ribosomal RNA is filed under the name Talaromyces aculeatus. RNAcentral describes it as "partial large subunit ribosomal RNA". It matches the Rfam family "Eukaryotic large subunit ribosomal RNA", at positions 44 to 956 of the family's 3401-position model. Lineage: Eukaryota; Fungi; Ascomycota; Eurotiomycetes; Eurotiales; Trichocomaceae. The record is from RNAcentral.
CAAUAAGCGGAGGAAAAGAAACCCAACCGGGAUUGCCUCAGUAACGGCGAGUGAAGCGGCAAGAGCUCAAAUUUGAAAUCUGGCCCCUUUGGGGUCCGAGUUGUAAUUUGCAGAGGAUGCUUCGGGUGCGGUCCCCGUCUAAGUGCCCUGGAACGGGCCGUCAUAGAGGGUGAGAAUCCCGUCUGGGAUGGGCGGCCGCGCCCGUGUGAAGCUCCUUCGACGAGUCGAGUUGUUUGGGAAUGCAGCUCUAAGCGGGUGGUAAAUUUCAUCUAAAGCUAAAUACUGGCCGGAGACCGAUAGCGCACAAGUAGAGUGAUCGAAAGAUGAAAAGCACUUUGAAAAGAGAGUUAAACAGCACGUGAAAUUGUUGAAAGGGAAGCGUUGUCCACCAGACUCGCCCGGGGGGGUUCAGCCGGCACGUGUGCCGGUGUACUCCUCUCCGGGCGGGCCAGCAUCGGUUUGGGCGGCUGGUGAAAGGCCCCGGGAAUGUAACACCCUCCGGGGUGCCUUAUAGCCCGGGGUGCCAUACAGCCAGCCUGGACCGAGGCCCGCGCUUCGGCGAGGAUGCUGGCGUAAUGGUGGUCAACGGCCCGUCUUGAAACACGGACCAAGGAGUCUAACAUCUAUGCGAGUGUUCGGGUGUCAAACCCGUCCGCGCAGUGAAAGCGAACGGAGGUGGGAGCCUUUCGGGGCGCACCAUCGACCGAUCCUGAUGUCUUCGGAUGGAUUUGAGUAAGAGCAUAGCUGUUGGGACCCGAAAGAUGGUGAACUAUGCCUGAAUAGGGCGAAGCCAGAGGAAACUCUGGUGGAGGCUCGCAGCGGUUCUGACGUGCAAAUCGAUCGUCAAAUUUGGGUAUAGGGGGCGAAAGACUAAUCGAACCAUCUGGUAGCUGGUC